RNAcentral lists this ribosomal RNA (463 nucleotides) under uncultured bacterium. RNAcentral describes it as "partial 16S ribosomal RNA". It matches the Rfam family "Bacterial small subunit ribosomal RNA", at positions 28 to 507 of the family's 1533-position model. The record is from RNAcentral.
GACGAACGCUGGCGGCACGCCUAACACAUGCAAGUCGAACGGACUUAAAAGAGCUUGCUUCUUUAAGUUAGUGGCGGACGGGUGAGUAACACGUGAGCAACCUGCCUUUGAGAGGGGGAUAGCUUCUGGAAACGGAUGGUAAUACCCCAUAAAAUAUAAAUAUCGCAUGAUAGAUAUAUCAAAGAAAUUCGAUCAGAGAUGGGGGGGCGUCUGAUUAGAUAGUUGGUGAGGUAACUGCUCACCAAGUCGACGAUCAGUAGCCGGACUGAGAGGUUGAACGGCCACAUUGAGACUGGGCCACGGCCGGGACUCCUGCAGGAGGGAGGAGUGGGGGAUAUAGCAAAAUGGAGGGGGCGCAGAAGCAGCGAUGGCGGGUAAGGGAAGAAGGUUUGCAAAUUAUAAACUCCUUUUAUCAGGGACGGUAAUGACGGUACCUGAAGAAAAAGCACCGGCUAACUACGUG